Molecule: ribosomal RNA, 253 nt
Filed under: uncultured bacterium
Lineage: Bacteria
Description: partial 16S ribosomal RNA
Rfam family: Bacterial small subunit ribosomal RNA
Source: RNAcentral
UACGGGGGGGGCAAGCGUUGUUCGGAAUUACUGGGCGUAAAGGGCUCGUAGGCGGCCAACUAAGUCAGACGUGAAAUCCCUCGGCUUAACCGGGGAACUGCAUCUGAUACUGGAUGGCUUGAGUUCGGGAGAGGGAUGCGGAAUUCCAGGUGUAGCGGUGAAAUGCGUAGAGAUCCGGAAGAACACCGGUGGCGAAGGCGGCCUGCUGGGACAAUGCUGACGCUGAGGCGCGACAGCGUGGGGAGCAAACAGG